This 626-nucleotide long non-coding RNA is filed under the name Malus domestica (apple). RNAcentral's name for it is "long non-coding RNA (MDOM_LNC003652)". Lineage: Eukaryota; Viridiplantae; Streptophyta; Magnoliopsida; Rosales; Rosaceae. The record is from RNAcentral.
UAAAUUCCGAUAAAUAUUGGCAAAUCACUAAAUCGAUACAUGAAACUCACAAAACACUAUGGAAAAAAUAUGAAAAUCAUGAUAGAGAUGUAUAAACACAAAAUACAUGAAACACACAAGACACACAGAACACAUGUAAAGCACAUACAAAACACAUGUGAAGGACAUACUAAACACAUGUGAAGCUCAUACACAUGUGAAGGACAUACAAAACAUAUGAUAGAGAUGAAGCACACAUAGAACACAUGUGAAACACAUGACACACACGAAAAACAUACCAACAUACAUACAAAACACAUGAAAUGCAUGAAACACAAACCUACACAUAUGAAACUAAAACCUUCAAUCAUCCUCUAUAUAUAAACACAAGUUGAAUAUCACACCAUCACACAACAUUCAAACCUUCAAUAAUCCUCUAUAUUCACCAAUCUUCCAACUUUCAAAGUGUUUUUCUUUCCUAAAAAUCAUCAAUAUCUCAUCAAUGGGUGAUAGAAGUAGGCGUAGCUUGGCAAUGCAGAUGACACAAUACCAAGCAAGCCAUGCAACUGCCGAUGCAAAAAUGAACGCAGAAGAAGCUGAAUUUGCAAACUCGCUUAUUCAAUAGCAGCACCAUGCCGAAUCUAGCC